UAUCUAAAAGAAACUAAUGAAAUUAUGAUUAAAAAUUUAUUAAUAUUUUAAAAAAGAUGUAGAAAAUUUUGAAAAUAUUAGUAAUAAAAAUUGUAUAAUUAUAAAAAUACUAUUAAAUAAUGUAUUUCGAAAUUUAUAAUGCAUAUUUCAAUAUAUUUAUUUUAGUGAUGAUUUAUGAAUUAUUACCAUAUUUUAAGAAGUUUACCAAAAAUAUAAAUCAACAUUAAAUGCAAUGUAUUAGUUAUUGUCAUAUCCUAUAAAAUUUACCAAAAAUAUAUGUCAGUAAUAAAUGUGAUUGUCCAUGUCAUAUUAACUAUAAACCAUGUCAUCAAUCUUGUUAAUCAUGUCAUCAUUGUUUUUGUAAAAAUGAUUGUACAGAGAACAUGUAAAAUCUCUCUCUCUCUCUCUCUCUCUCUCUCUCUCUCUCUCUCUCUCUCUCUCUCUCUCUCUCUCUCUCUCUCUCUCUCUCUCUCUCUCUCUCUCUCUCUCCCCCCCCCCGUCAAACCACAAGCAAAUCACUCUUUCUUUUCCACAUAGAGAUAAAUUACCAAACACUAAAUAAUCAAUUUUUGAAAUGGGAAUCCUCUCUGUUAAAUUUUUUUAUCAUCUUUAGAUUCAUUACCACAAAUUCACACAUUCACCUUUCAAAUUUCUCUCGCUCGAACUUGAGGUUAUUACACGACGGUGAGUAGACUCGUAGAAGCUGGAAAGCAUGGCCUUAUUUAACAAAGAGCUCCUUAACUCUUCACGCUUCAACAAAAGGUUUCUUUCUAACCAUCAUUAUUUACCGCCGCCACAUUACCAUCACGUUACCGUCGUCAAGUACCAUCUCGGGCAGAUCAGUUCCAAAGAUGAGAGUCUAUUAAGGAUGAGUACCGACUGUUAGUUGUUACUAUGAUUCCUGGAAAGAUCUUUCACUUUUCUUUAUGAUGUAGCUUGUAAAAUAACCAGUUAAGAUUUUACUUGAUUUUUAUAUUGUUAUAGUUAGCCGGUAAUGUAUUCUAACUAUCUAGAUAUCAUUAUUCUUUGUUAGUAUUUUUAAUCAAUGGUUGGUUAACACUAUAGUUAUCCGAUUAUGCAUGUUUUCUCGAUUAUAAUUAUCCGGCUAAGAAAUUAGUAUUGUUAUAUUCUGAUUUAUCCGGAUACUUUACAUUUUAGGUGGCAUAUAAUAUUAUAUUUACUGGCUAUUUGAUCAGUUGAUGGUUUGUAUCAAUUCAGAUAAACAAAAAAAAUGAACUCUCUAGUAAAUCACAAAACAUAUGAUUAGAUUUACAUGUUCGGCUAAACAUAAAAUAAACUCAUUAACAAAUCACAAUACAUAUGAUUAAAAUGGUUGUUUACCCGGUUAAGAUUUUACUUGACUCCUUUGUUAUACUUAGCUGGUAAUAUAUAUUAAUUAUCUAGACAUUGUUAUAGUUAGCCGAUAAUAUAUACUAAUUAACGGAGGGUUAACACUGCAAACCCAAAACAAAAGAUAUAUUGAGUAAUUAGUGUUGUGGCCAAUUUGAAAGCCAUCUAGAAAUGAGGUACAAUUGUGCAAAUACAAGAAGAGCUAGAUUGCACAAUUGAAAGAUUUGGGGGUUGAUUCACGAGGAUGUUUUUGUAAAUCUAAAACAUUUGGGGUCAAAUUGAAAAGAACCAUAAUUUCAGGUACUUAUUGUGCAAAAACAUAUAAAGUCACCAUUGGAGAGAUCAACCUUUCUCUUCGCCGAACUAGAUGGCGACGGCAAGGAUGAACACAACGGCAAGGCUUGAUUAUGAGCAUGGCGACGUUGUUAGAGCAAGGCGACUGAAGAUCCACUGACAGAGGAGUAAGCCAUGUGAAUCUCGCGACGAUAUCGAACUCGACGUAAACAGAGGUGAAUGGUGAAGCACGACCGUGAAAGGAAUAAACUUGACGUGGCGAUCUACAUUUAGACGCGAUGGUGGACAUAAUAAGUCAAAGCUCAUGUUCAUGGCGAGUGGGAGGCAGUUGCAGAUGAUGACAAGUGAAGCUUAACAAGAAGAGACACUCGACUCCGGUGAGAGUGAACUAGACAAUUCAGUGGAAAUCUUGCGAGAAGAGAGAGAAGGUACCGAUGGAUUAAACGAAGAAAAUGUGGAAGUAGAGAGAAGAACAGUUUUGAUUUUGAAACAAUACGUGUAUCGAUUAUUGUGCUAUCUACUGACAAACCUUUUCACGCGUGAUAUAACAAGAGUAUACCAAUAUAGAGAGUUCGUAAAUGGGUGACAAUUUUAGUGUAACAUACGAGAUAUAGGGGCAAAAGGGCCAUUAAAAAAGACACAUAAGCGAGAAAUGACAACUUCUAUCUGUGCAAAUUAUGCACUUAUGCUUGUAUAUACACUGCAAUUUCCCUUAAUUAAUUAGGUAUAUAGUCAGAUUUUUUUGUUAAAAAAAAAUUAACCAUGUAAUAACUGAUAUGUGUGGAAGCCUCCUUGGUUCAGUGGUUUGACCAAGGGUUCACUAAUACUUCUACACCAUGAGGUAUGGGUUUCAAUUCACGGGAAGGCAGAAUUAUGUGAAUUAAUGGACAAACGGUUUACAAGAGAUCUGCAGCAAGGCGCAAGGAGUACCGCAAUCAUGGAUCCGAUAGAACGACUCAGGUGAUGCAGUUAUGCGUAAAUUCUCAUAAAACAUAUAGAAAUAUCGGUUGUAAAUAGGGUCUCAGAUCAAUAAGCACAUAAGCAUCUUAUUUCUCAGAUUCGACCAGAAGAGGAAGUAGAAAAUAAGCCCAAAGGGUAAAGUCAGAAAGGCAAAACAUUUAGUAUGAUAUUGGUCUCACUCACUCACCAUUCUUUUUUUUUUAUUAUAAUUCAGUGAACAAUGUGUUAAGAUUGCUGAGAAAAGACAUGUUAAACCUGCAAACUAUUUGGAUUCGCAUCAGAAGAUUCUUAUAGGUGUUGCUACUAAAGGAGGUAUGUUUUCCUCAGUGCUGAAUAAAGACAUGUUAAACCUGCAAACUAUUUGGAUUCGCAUCAGAAGAUUCUUAUAGGUGUUGCCAUUAAAGGAGGUAUGUUUUCCUCAGUGUUGAAUUCAGGUCAGCUAUAUCUCUUUCAGAUGGUUUGUGUUUUUAAUUUAUAAUCUGACUCAGUUUCUUCAACCAAGUCCUGAAACCACAGUUGCCAAGCUUAUUAAAACGUUAUAUUUGUUUAUCUUUAUCAUUCCAGUGGCCAAGUGUCACACAAUGUUGUACGAUAUAAGUAAAAUAGAAACCGGUUAAGAGAAGACGAUGGCACUAAAGAUGAAGAAAACGAGGAUGAUGAUUGUGACGAAGGUGCCGACACGAAGAAGGUAUAAAUACACGGUAAUGGUUACACUUUCAAUAUAUCCUAAUUAAGUCUUAUGAAUUUUAAUGUACAAAACGAGCCAGAGACAAGCAGAGGAGAGGCUAGAGAGAUUUGUAGUGCUGGACCAAACCAUGUUCAGGUCUAAGCAAGCUCAAGAGGAGGAUGAAGCUCGGGUAAUGAAGUAAUCAUUCGGAACAAUUAAGAAAGAUAUCUUUUUGUAACCUUGGAUUAUAUUCAGCUAUGGAGGAGUUCCUUAAUCCGUACAAGUGCGAAAUGUUUAUAUACAUUGGUUAUAUUGUAGAGUUGUUGUGAAGGAAAUAAUAGAAGAUUUUAAGUACAUCACAAAACCGAGAAAGAUUUCUCAUACUAUCAUGAGAGAAGAAUCAAACCUUUCAUAUUGUGUUUGCUGAUUGUUAUAAUUCUAUCACGGAUUGUUCUUUGGACCUCCAGUUACUCCUUUUGUCAACUCAUUAAGCUUAAGGAACAAAACACCACAUAACCUCCAAAGCUGCUUAGACCAGUGGGAUAAUGAAAAGUUCUUCGCUUAGAACAAUUGGAAGGCAUGGGAUGCUUUUCUUAAAGCCGACUGAGAGAAACUGGGUAAUUAUAGAGACUACUCAUGCUGCUGCUUUUGCUGAGAAGUUACUGUUGCCUAUAUCUCAGCUGAGCCCAUAAUCUUAUUUUGAAAUAAGAGUCGAUAAGGAGCUCACAUUCAUAUUAUUUCCAGCCCUAAAUCAGCUUCUCAAGAUUCAAGACAAGUCGGUAGCCAGUCAUUAGGUUCUAUGCACAUUGUAAAAAAUGAAGAAAUACUAUAAAUAUGCAUUGUGAGUUAAGAUAGACAAGAUUAUGGGUUCUAUUUCUUAUUACCUCUGAUGAUGCUAAUGUCUUUGAUCGGUAAACAAUAGACAUUUGUGUCCUCAAAGCAUUAGAUGGAGAGACAAAGCUUUAAGUCUUAUCGCACUAUAGCAGGCACGGAACAGAGUUGCGUUAUAAUUACAAAGCCUAACUAACCUUUAUGGGGAUAACUACCGGGUGAUAAACGGGAAAUGAGUUUGAUUGUCAGAUUCACUGGGAAACUGGAAGUGUCUUUGUUAUUUUCUUAUUUUGAAAAAUGAACUGAAUAUCAUCAGACAAAUAUUUUCGGCCAUAUCCUAUUCCACUUUUUAAUUUUGACUUAUACAUUACAAAUUUAUACAUUGUAGAACUUGGUUGAGUUGCUCAGUUUGCAAUUCAUAUAUCUAUUGAUAAUUUGAUAUGUCUCAUCAAACGUAUGAUUGUUCAUAUACAUGGGAAAAUAAAAUUUCCCUAAUAAUAUUUUACUUGAAUUUGACUAAUUAAGAUUAUUUUAUGUUAAAAAUAACUUCUAAAAUUUAUUGUACAUCUUUUAAAUAUCAAAAGAUCAAAUAUAUGACACAUUUACAAUUAUAUAAUGCUAAAAGAAUGUCUGAAAUAUCUCCCCCUUACUUCAUCUGGAUCAACAAUAGAAUAACAUUUAAUGGAACAACAAGAUUCAAGAUAUUAUAUCACUAAUAGAAAAUAUGUUAAAUAAUUUCAUAACAUACAAUACCUCACAGACUCCCUUUGAAUUCAUAGUCGCAAAAACAAAUCAAGAAAUAAUGGAAUAUACCUUCUCAAUGCGAUUAGAUGAAAUCUAAAAAUAUAGUAGAAAUGCAAAAAUAAAACUAAACCAAAACUAAUCAAACGUUAAAGUCAAUAGAUUAAUAAGAAAACAAGAUUAAAUUCAAGGGAAAUCCAACACAUCUAAUUAUAUAAAAAAUUGUUUGGUUCCCUCCUGUGAUGCCACGUCGGAUCCAGGCUGGAAAGUCGAGUUUUGUGGUGCCAACACGUGUCCCCUCUAUCAAAGUGUCGCGUUUCAUUUAUUCGAGGGUGUAAUAGAUUUGGGCCUGGGUUUGUAAACUGGCUUUCCUUCGGCUUAGUGGACCCCAAAACCAAAUAAAGAGUAAUAUAUUGAAACACGACGUUUUUGAUAUACGGCUGAACCAGUUCUUCAUCCCGGCCGUACGAGAGCUAAACUCGAUCUAUGGUUUCGAAAGCGUUCCACUGAUCAUCGCUGAUUAGCUAUAUGAAGCACGAUUUCACAUUGAACGCGAGUUAUCCCUCUGAAAGGCGGUGUAUCUACCUAUAAAAAUAUUAGCUUUGCUCCAUUGAUCAUCGUUCUCUCAAUCCGUAAAAAAACCAAACAAUCUGAUCCAUGGUUGUAGGGUCUCAUCUCUCUAUCAUAUGCCGCAAGGUCCGGCGCAUCUGAGCUGAAGUUUGAAAUGAAGAAGAAAUUUAAGAGGCUGCAGUCGACAUCCACUUAUAAGCAUUCAGAGUAUACCCAAAUCUCAUCGCUUUCGGUUAACCGAGCUAACCAGUAUCGCCGAGUUACAAUUGACUUCGUCCAGCUAACGGAGCAACCGACGGAGCAAGCGGCGAGAGCGUUGGAGCAAGCGGUGGAGAGCGACGGAGCAAGCGGCUAGAGCGGCGGAGCAAGCGGCUAGAGAGGCGGAGCAAGCGGCGGGAGCGAUAGAGCAAGCGACGGGCAGAUCAAGAAACAGAGAGUGUGGAGAGAGAUAGAGAGAGAGAGAGAUAGAGAGAGAGAGAGAGAGAGAGAGAGAGAGAGAGAGAGAGAGAGAGAGAGAGAGAGAGAGAGAGAGAGAGAGAGAGAGAGAGAGAGAGAGAGAGAGAGAGAGAGAGAGAGAUCAAAAGCAAUUGAUACAGUUCAAGCUCUCACAUGGGAGGUCGAUAGGCUCUCGCACAUGGUGAGUUUAUAUGAGCUGCAAUCUUUUCUUAUUUGUUUUUGCACGAAAAAAGGAACGAAGAAUUGGUUUGAAUUGAUUUCUUUUUGCAAAAAUUAGGUUUGUGCUUUUGAAGUUUCUGUAAAUGGGGGAUGGAGGUUGCGGUGGAGGAGGCUGACAUGACUGCAUAGCGUCUCAUGAGGCUGUUGCUCAAACUUGAUGGCGUCAAAGCAGAAGGGAAAUCUAGAGUACAAUAAUAACGCAGACGUUAAUGUUUCAUCUCAUGCAUUCUUCAUUUGUCUGCAUCAACUAUGUUUACAAAAUAAAAAUGUCAACAACAAUGGUAAACAAUAUGAAUCAGGUAUUUACGAUUAAUGAGUUCUAGGCUUUCGGAUGAGUUGCAAUGAUAUGAUCAGUGACUUUGGUAGAUAUACAUUGAGAUUCUGUUAAGUGAUCAUUUGUUUGUAUGAAUUAGUGGAAUGGCUAAGACUGUUGAGAAAUAUAGAAAACAUAGUUAUGCAACAAUGGAUCCAAAUCUAUCAUCUAAAAACUUGCAUGUAUUUUCCUAUCUCUAUAUAUAGAUAUGAAUUGUCAAGGAUUAACCUCGGCUUUAAGAUUGUCCUUAAUUUAUUUCCUCUUAAGCGACUAGAGAAGUAUGAGGACUGCUUGAAGCUCAGAUCAAGAGUUGAGAUCCUACAACAUUCACAACGGUAAAUGAUUACUUCAACAGUUUAGUAAUCAUUUUUGGACAUAAAAACAUAGCGUGCAGUUUUACUUAUGCGUUCAAGUGGUGUGCAUAAGACCAUUCAUAAAGGCAUCAACCUUAGAGGUGACGAUGUAUAUUAAUUACUAAGGUUUUACUUAAGGUAUUGGCAUCAACCUUAGAACUUCUCAUUGUAUAUAAUUACUACUGUUUUUAUUUUUUUAAAUAUGUGUCUCUUGCAUGUACACCAUAGGCAUAUACCAAGAUAUGUGUAUACAUCUAGAAAGUCCUCUUCUGCAGCUGGGUUGAUUGCAACUGUUGCUAAAGAACAUGAAUGCUGAAUUUUGCAAUGAUAAAUGGUUCCUUGCAAUGAAACUUACAAGUAACCUAGAAUUUCUGACUAAUGUCAUCUAACUCUUUAACAGGCUGGUGCUUUAAUGUUUGCUGAUUAUGGAAUAUGUUGCAUUCACGAGUUUGACAAUAUGGAUAUCAAAAAUCAGGUUAGUGAUCAUCAGUUUCUUAUUAGUACGACUACAGAGUUUUCCUGUACUGUACUUUAAGAUUUAUGUUAGAUUUGGGGACAAAGGUUGCUAUUCGGUAAGCUAUGGAGUGGAGCAGCAAACAAUAAUCACUACGAAAGCUUGUAUACAAGCAACUUUCUAGCUCACUUGAUUACAACAAAUGUACCCAGCUAGAUAUUUAUGUGCUCUUGAUUGAUCACAGGAGAAAGAAUAGAUGCAGAUGCUUGUGUUCCAGCUUUUCACCACCACAGCUUUUGCGAGACAAAUAAAGAACACAUGUUCUAUAAGACAUAGCGGUCAGUCUCAAUGACAUUCAUAAAGCUUUGCUGUCACCUCUGGAAAGAUUCUUAAACAGAGACUAGACAUGUUGCUUAUGCAUGUCUGAAUCUGGAAACUCAGCUAGAGGGCAACGCAUCAGCAACACGAGCAAUCAACGUCAUCUUCACCAUCCGGGCUUAUUCCUUAUUCAUUAACAAACUCACUGAAAUUAUCAUAAAGUGAUCAAGUGCAUCAACAUUGGGUUGAUUUGAAUUCAAGUGCUUCGGACAGAGUAAAUAUGUCCACUUUCCAAAGAAUUAUAUGAAUCUAAAUGUAAGGGAGGCAACUGAGCUACGGAUUCAUACUCCGUUGUUUGAGAAUAUAUGGAGUGUUUAUUAUACUUCUGUUUUGUCCACAAAUAGUUUGUUCUACUGUAAUUAAAUUUUAACUAUUUUAAACAAUUUUUUUAUUUUUUUGAAAAUAGGCUUUGCUAUUGAAUAUUAGAAAUUUUACAAGAAGCUGGAAUAAAAUAUGUAUUAGUGUUUAAAAGUUAUCUUCUCUCAUAAAAAAUUUUCAAAUAAUAUCUAUAGUGAGUGACACAACUAAUAUAUUAACAUAAAGUAUAUAAGAAUAUAAAAACUACAUUACAUUUUGUGUCAAAUGUCAAAUUUAUUUACUACAAACAAACUAAACAAUUUGUGUUCAUGCUUUAAAGCAAGAGAACUCGAUUUUUUACUUAAAAAAAUAAAUUAGAAGUUUUUAAAAUUAUAACCAAUCAAUUUAGCAACAACAUUAUACUUAAAUUUAGUCUUCAGGUGGAACUUAAAGUAAACAAUCGUGAAUUUUUUGAAAAUCCCUUAUUUUCAAAAACCCAAUAAUGAUAAAAUUUAAUACACACAAUGACAUAUAAUAUUUCAUAUCAUCUAUCAAGUAUUAUAUGUAUUAAGAAAAAAUCAAAUAGUGUUAUCUUUUUAUUACCUAAUAAUUUCUAUCAAAAAUACAGAAUGCAACUAUUAAAAUCAAAAUUUACAUUAUAAAUUAGUUUAUAUGGAAUAUAUUUUACUGUAAACUUUUUUCAUAUGUCUUUGUGAUCAUUUGUAUUUUGUUAAAAAUAUUUAAUCAGAAAUCACACAAUUUCAAUGGAAAUUUAACAGUUUUUAAAGUAGUAAAAUAUAAUCAAGAAUAAACAUAAAUCAAUAAUUUACAGUGUAAUAUAAGCACAAAUAAAUUAUAUAUAUAUAUAGUAUAGUUUUAACCCAACAAAAAUUUGACUAAUUGUCACUUAUAUAUCAAGUUUUAUACUAGAAAUUUACUCUAGCUAUUUUAAUUAUUUUGAUAUAUAAUCCCGCCCGUAGGGCGGGCCGGUCCUAGUAAACUUAUAAAAAAAUCUUAUAUCACUUUGAUGUAAUUAAAAAUAAAUACCAGUUAAUUAAUAAAUAACUCAACUAUUACAUUUUAACAAUCAAUCACUAUUCAUAUUACUGAAAAUUUUCUUAAUGAUGUAAACAUAACAAACAACUAGACAAUAACCCGUGCAGCUGAACAUGUGUUUGUUUUUCUUUUUAUAUGCGUAAAAGUUUUUUCUACAUCGUUAAUGGUAAAUAUUCUUAACAUUAACCAUUUUUUCGAACGUUUAUAUUUUUGUGAAUAAAAUAAUGUUAUAGUCAACAUGUAUGGUAUUCUCUUUCCUUUACGUCUUCUAACAUUUUUGAAGAUAAUUUAAUAAUUUUUCAAGUCAUAUAUUUGUUUGAUCUUACUCCAUAAAACUUUGUAAUAUAUAUUUUAAAUUAUUUUUCACAAACAAAUAUGUAUAUCACAAAAUAAAGUUGUACAUUCUAUUCAUAAAGGUAGAUUGAAGAGUAAAUUAUGCAGUUAUAACAAAAAGUAAAAUUUUAAUUUUAAUAAAAUAUUAUGAUAUAAAUUUCAAUUACUCAUACUAAAACAAUAUAGGGUUGGAUCAUAAAUCUUUCUAAUUCUAAAAUUUUAGCACCCCUUAAAAUAAAUUUAAAAAAUUUAUAAUUAUAAUUUCUAUUAUAAAUUUUUUUAUCUGAGCUGUUAUUGUUUAUUCCUAGAGUUUGAUAUGUGACCGUCUAAAUAUUUGUUUUCACUUUUAAGAAAAUUUUACUAAAUGAUAUAAUAAUAUUUGUAAAUUAAAAUGUAUUAACUAAUUUUUUGUAUAACAUUUUAAAACAUAAAUGUUUAUUUAUUACUUUGAAUACUUAUAUUUUUGGUAUUUUAAUCACUUAUUAUAUCACAUUGUUUCAUAAAUUAUUGGUAUAAUGUUUUCUCAUAUAUAUAAGUCCAAUUAGUUAAUUGUACUUAUAUUUAUGAAAAUAUCAUACCAAUAAUUUAUGAAUAGAUUAUUUUAUAUUUUAUUUAUCUAUUAUAUAAAUUGAUUAUUACUAAUAAAUAUCGGAAAGCAUUUAAUACAUUAAUACAAAAUAUAUUAGGAAAUCUAUGGGAAAUUUUAUUUUGGUUAAGAUUAGAUUAAUGAAAACUAUAAUUUAAAUUAGGAAAAGACAAACAUACUUAAAUAUAGGUUCAAUUUCAUUGUAAAUAAGUGGUAAAACUAAAUGGUAAUCUAAUUUUGUACUCCUCUUUUAAUAGAUUAGAUAUAAAACUGAAAUAAACACCCAUGAAAAAGUAAAAUAAAUAAAAAUUUAGUUUCUUUUCUUAAAAUUUAAGUAUUGUAAUCUUAAGUUAAUAUACAAAUAGUAGGGUUUAAUAAUAAUUUCAUGAUUUAAACAAAAAAAACAUAUAAACCUAUGUUAAACUUUUAAACAGUGCAAUACAUUUUAAAAAUUCUCGAGUCUUCAAUGAAUUUUAUUAUAUAUACACUUAGGUUGGCUAGCUUUACAAAAACAAUUGACUUUUUUUUUAAAAUGUUAGAUUUAGUAUAAUAAUGCUAAAAAUGUAAGGAAAUUGCCACAAAUACCACAUUCAUAAUACCACUUUUCAUGUUUACAUUAAUCACUUUUGCAUUCACUUUUAAUGAAGGGUAAAAGAAACUUAUACCCAUGGGGUUAACUAUUCUAGACUUAAGGUUUAGAGUUGAGGAGUGCGGUAGGGUUUUUGAAAUGUGAAAUUUAGGAUUCUAAUAAAUAUAUAAAUAAAUACUUAAAAACUAUAUUUAAAUUUUUUUAAAAUAGUUUCAAACAUAAUUUUCGAUUGUCAAAAAGAAAUUUUGAAAAAAAAAUAAAAAAAAGUUCGAAAAAAGAUUAAAAAAAAGUAUAAAAAAGUUCGAACUUGAAAAAGUAUAAUUCGAAAACAUAAAAAAAUUAUUUUUAUUAUUUUUAUAUUUUAUUUAAAUAAUAACUUAUUAUAUAUAUAGAUAACAAGGGUAUAAAAGUCUUUUGCCAUUUAAUAAAGAAGAUAUUUUUGAAAAUGUCCCUUUAGUGGUGGUAAAUAAGAAAAGUGGUAUCAUGAAAGUGUUAAACAUAAAAUUUUCCCAAAUGUAUUAAAAUAUUGUUUUAGUAUAAUCAAAACUAGCAAAUUAUGAGCAAGUAUUGCAUUAUGGACAAAAUCAAUUCUUGAUCAAUGAUAAAAUCAUAUAUAGUUUGCUAAAUUUUCACAUUUGAAAGUCUCAAAUAUCCAUCACAAACACAACCUUAAAUCUUUCUCCUUUUCCCUACUCUCACUCGAAUACAAAUGACAAACCGAUAAACUAUUAACUUUCACAAAGCAAAAUUGGAGGCGAAGCCAAAUGCAAGUUUCUCAAAUGAUCCUUUAGCAGUCACAAUGAACUUGAACAAAGAACCCAGACAUAGCAAACAUAACAAAUCUUCUAUUCUUGAUCUCCUUAACCUUCAAUUUUGCAAAAGUCUUUGGGUCAUUUGGCAAGUCUAAUGGGCCAAAGCUGAUAUUUGGGUAUAGCAAAUCCUCCUCUUCUCCCAACAGCUCAUUUCAUACUAUAUAAAUUCAACCAACUUCCAACAAGAUUAUUUGAGUGGUUUGUUCCGAGUAUGAAGUUUUUAAGAAACAAAUCUGGUGAAUAUAUAAAAGUUUUAGGAUCUGAACUUGCGAUGUAUGAAUUAAAAAAAAAGGAGAUAAUAUUUUUACAUUUAUAUACUCAAAUUUAAGUUCAUUUAAAAUAUAGCUGAAAGCUCGGGUGUAGCCCGGAAAAAUCUCUAGUUCUUUUUAAUAAUUCUUAAUAACUCAACUGUAAAUUCAAAUAUUAAAUCUUAAAAUAAUCCAGUAGUAAAAUGAUAGGUACUUAUCAAAAUAAAAAUAUUUGUAUACAAUUACAUUAAAAUGAUACAAUAUAUAGCAUUCUAUACAUAAUCUACAUAAAUGUUAUUUUUUACCAAAAAAAUAUGUAUGAUGGAAUGAAAUAUUUUUUCUAACUUGAACUUCAUACAUGUGAGUUAUGCUCUAUUUCUUCAAAUUUGACAUGUAAAUUCUGCUCUAAUCCAUUGAAAUAGAAAAAAUUUGGUAUAUUUUUGGGUUAUUUUGUCUUUAUAUAUUAUAUAAAAAAUAUCAUUGCCAUUAGAAAAUAUGGUCAUUCAACUAAUUACAGGUUUUAUAGUUAUAUGGUCUAGUUUAUAUCCAAGAUAAGAAGAUUCAACAUGAAUAAUUUGUUGCAAACAAACAAUGAAUAGUGUUAAGCAAAAAAAAAGCAAUGAAUAGUGUUAGUUUUUUGGGAAAUUUGUAAAUAUAGAACAAAAAAACAACUACAUUGUCCCUAUACCAUAAAUUGAUCUAUACAUUGUCCAUAUAGUAUAAUCUUUUGUGUUAACCCAAUUAAGCCCUCCUAAUUUAUAAUCCAAUAAUUUUUUUUUUUUUUUGGUAAAAUUAUAAUCCAAUAAUUGAUAUAAUUAUAUAUAAAACACAACAAUUUAUAAAAUUAAAUAAAGGUAAAAACAAAAUAAAUACAUCUUCCCGAUGAACCCUAAGCCCUUUUUAUUACUGCAACUUUGAUCAUAUCUUUAGGUGCCAUUGAUCCCAAAGGAGAAGUCAACGGAGCUGAAAACCAAGAUCCUUAUUUUUCUGGCAAGUUUGGAACCCACGCGUCGCUCCCUCCGACUUAAAAAAAUUAAAUCUCCGUGCAUUGGUAAAGAAAGUAGCAAUAGAGAGGAGCACCCUGAAAAAGAAGAAACAAAGGCUAUAGGUUUGUAGAUGAUGUUAUUAACAUUUUUUCCUGGGUAAAAUCAUAUCUGAAACUUUAUUAUUGCUGCAGUUCCAUGUUGCUUUCUGUGUCUUUGCUGUGGUUGCUCCACCUAUUGUAUUCAAAAGAAACUAUCUUGCGUAAUUUUUUUUUUCUUAACAUUAGAAGUUGAUCUUGUCUUUGCUUUUGGUAACUUGAGUUUGGAGAAAGCAUUUGAAUUGAUCAGCUUCAACACAAAGACAAGUUUGUUACACUCGCAUUUAGGUUGGAUAAGCAAUCUGCUAGCUAUUGUCCUUAUCCUUGCAAUCAAUUAUUUUUGUUCAUGUAACAGUGGGAUCUUACUUGCAAUAGAUUUCUUAAGCGAUGAACCUGAUGGUGUGCAUGAAUCACAAGCCCUCUCAUUGGCUCAUAUCAAAACUCUAGCAGCCAACUCCAUGUACUGAAUCUGUCAAACCAUUCUGCUCAUGCACGAAACAAGAGAUUGUAGAACAGGAGAUCUCUCUUAAGAAAGCUGGAUACCACAAUCUCGGACAUAGUUUCAGAUUGUUUUUGCAACGUCGUACAUGUUAAAAUCUAGAUUAUUUGUUAACCCAAACUAUUGAUCUGUAUUUUACUAUCAAGUGGUUCAAAACAGUCUUUGUUCUUUCCUUGUUAUGCUUUUGUGAGAAAGCACUGAUCUUCGAUGAUUAGCUUAAUAAUCUUUUGGUUUAGCUUAAUGUAAGAUGAACUUUUGAUUGUUAUAAUUUAGGGAGAUGCAAGGGAGACGAUCCCUGAUUUCAUUACAGAGUGUGGAGCUUCACAUUUGGUUACUGACUUCUCUCUUUUACUGGAAAUUAGAAGCCGUAGGAACGAGGUUAUGAAGAGAACGAAUGAUUCACUAGAAAUACAUGAAUUUUGUACUUAUUUUGCUAAUAUAGAAUGAGGAACUACAAAUAGACGAAGAUGGCUGAAUGAAUAACCCAUUUUGUGUUUUUCUUUUCAUGGCAUAUGCAGAACAGGUUGUUAAAAUGGUUUUGUCUUCUUUUCAGGUUGCAGAACAGGUUGUUAAAAUGGUUUUCUUUGGAUUUAGUUACUGGUAAUCGUUAUGUGUGUGUUACGUGUUGUACUCGGAAUCUUGUAAACAAUAGUAAAUGUGUUUUAGCUGUGAGUUGUUUUACUCUUUUCUCAUGAUUUUCUCUCACAAGAGCCAUUCUAAGGACUCCGUGGCUCUCUAUUAUUACUUUGCAGCAUGUCUUCGAUACACCUCAAAAGAAAGCUUGUCCAUAUUUUUGAAUCCAUUAUUUCAAAAGUUAUGAUUAGGGUAAUACAGUUUUCAGGGUUGACAUGAAUGUACUUGUGUUACUAAGAAUACUUAUUCAGCUGCGGCCAUUUUCAGAGACUCUACGAGUGUCAUCAACUGAGAUAAUAUGAGAAUAUGUGUGUGAGUUAACAAGCAAGCUAUACACAUUUUUUUUUACAAAUCACAAUGAUGAAACAGCUAUUUAUGUGUCUAAUAAGUCAUCACAUCAAACAUGUUAUUUGACUAAGAUUUACAAAUAUAGUUGACACCACAAAUAGGGUUUAAACCCUAAACCCUUAAUCACAUAGGGUUCAAACCCUAAAGCCGAAAUCAAAUAAAUAGGAUUAUGAAUUUAAUGUUUAAUAAGUUAAAGUUAGUGUUUAACAAAUUAAAUUUAGUGUUUUAAAAAUUAGAAUUUAAUGUACUUGUUGAUUUAAAAAAUAUUGAUAAAGAAACACGAAAAUUUUGGAAAAUUAAGAUUUAGAAAAUAUUUUCUUAACAGAUUAGGAGAGAUUUAAGGAAUAUUAUGAUUACGAAUUUGGUAGAACUCAUAUUUUGUCGUCCGUAGACUGAAGAUAUACUGGUAGACUACGAAAUCCCGCUAAGGUGGAAUAUCAUAUUGAGGUAGAUAACACAAUCACAAUGUCGUUGAGUAUAAAUAUAUAUGCAGAUUUUAUGUUUCAGUGUUAGUAGAUAUAAUAGUAAAACGUAGUUCAUCAAAUCUACCGUAGUUCAGAUCAUAGGGAAAACGGCAGUUAAUUCAAUCUGCGGUGGUAGACCAAUGACCAUUAAGUUGAUAUUACGUUCUAAGAGCUGCAGAUACUUAUUUAGUUAACUGAAACUACAAUCUACAUGCUCGUAGACACUAGAUUUUGUUUUCUGCUUUUCGUAGAUCAAAAAAUGAAAUUGUGUUCUCCUAAUAUUUAGUCAACCAAAAUAUUUUUCAUAUAAUUAUUUAUUUUUUAUAUACAUUUGGAAUAAUUUUCCAUAUUUUUCUGACUUUUAAAAUAAUUGAUAUGAAUUUUUAAAGUUAGCCAGGGGUAUCUAAGUCCAAAACGGGCCAAAAAGAGAUUUAUGGCAAAAUGACAAUGUAGCUGUUUUUCUGUUCUGUUUUGGCAAUUUUUUCUAGUUUUUUUUGGUCGAAUGAAUAGUGAAUAGUGUUAGCUGGUGUUAUUGGAUUGUGGAUUUAAAAUUACUUCUUUAGAUUUUAAAUUCUAGUGUUAUUCAAGGAUUGAUUUUAAAUUUUUAUUUUUAAAUCUAGUGUUAUUGGUUAUUGUAUUCAAAAUAUUUCUAUUAAGUGAUUAUAAAAUCUUGUGUUAUUAGUUAUUGUAUUCAAAAUCUUUCCAAUGAAUGAAAUUUUAAUUCCUUUGCUAUUCAAUCAAAUAUUUAAAUACACCAUUUCAAAUCUAGUGUUAUUCAUGUUUGAUAGAUUUGUACAAUUCAUUUGACUUGAAAUAGUUUGAAUGGAUUGGAAUCUACUUUUACGUAUAACACCUUUCAAUCAAAAUCUUCCAUUUUAACUUCAGAUUUAUAAAACCAAAACUCAUCAAACAAAAACUUCUAACGUCAAACUAGCUAAUAAACGUGUUCAAAACCAAAGCUGACUAAUGGACAAAAAAAACAAAAUAUAAUAGAAGGAACAUCAUCCAUAAUAAAUCCUAAUAAAAGUUUUUUGUUUUUCAUCGAACAAGAUAGAUAGCAAAUAUAAAAAUUAAUUGUUCUUUCAUCAAGCCUAUCUUCCAACAGAAAAUAGCUUUCAUUCUUGGACCCAACCCAGAUUUUCUUUGUAUCAAAUUCAUCAAGUUAAAAUUUUCCAAACAUAAACUCCUCUUUUGAUAAUUAUAUGUGCUUUUUAAUUUUUAACUUGAUGAUUUUUUUUUGAUGAAAUUAACUUGUGGAUUCACAUGGAAUAACAUCAUUUCCUUUUUACUGUCAUAAUAAUUAUAUACAAUACUAUUUUCAUUGUCUAUUAGUAAUCUUAUGAUAAAAUAGUUUGUGUUUAAAAGUAUUUGCGUUUCAGUUUAUAUUUGUGUAAAAGUUAAUUUAAAAUCUGAAAUUGAAUUUCAAAUUAGAAUACUCUCAGAUGGAGUUCAAUUCUAUUAUAGAAAUCAAAUGAUAUCAUGUUGAUUUUAUAAAUAAAAUGAUAAGGAUUUUAAAACAUCUAUCAAAAAUUGUAAAUCUUAUCUAUUUUACUGUGAAAAUGUUUUUUCCUGUUUAUUUUUGUCGACUUGUUUGCUUGUAGUAUACCAGAUUACCAGCCUUGUUCAACAUUCCUUUGUUAUAGUAGGUAGCAUGUUUACAAUAAUAUAUUCAUUAUAUAAACAAAUUGGUCAAUAUGUCCGAGUGGUUAAGGAGACAGACUUGAAAUCUGUUGGGCUUCGCCCGCGCAGGUUCGAACCCUGCUGUUGACGUUGUUUUUUGUUUUCUUUAAGUUUUCUUCAUAUGACAUAAACAUCAUCACCUAAGAAGAUUAUCGUAAACUUCACUAAGAAAGUGUAAACAUUUUAAGAAGUGGUUGUAAGAAUGUGGCUGGCUCCAAAUUUUAAGCAAAAAAAAAAAAUGUGGCUGGCUCAUCUUUGAUUGUUUGCCAUAAGAGCAAGUUGGAGAGAUGGGGGCUUCAUAUUAGCUCCCCAUGUUGCCUCUGCAACACUUUCAUAUAGGACAGA
This is a long non-coding RNA of Brassica rapa (field mustard), 16557 nucleotides long. RefSeq lists it as uncharacterized. NCBI's taxonomy places the organism in Eukaryota, Viridiplantae, Streptophyta, Magnoliopsida, Brassicales, Brassicaceae. The record is from RefSeq and is a predicted model, not a curated record.